CCACCCCAGGGGACCCCCACGCGGGCCCUUUCCUCGGUUCCACGGCCACGAUCCAAGGUUAAGAGGCAAGCGUCCAGGUCCAAGAGGUGGGGGGGGACAUCCUGGUCCAAUGUUUCCACCAAAAAGACCCUUUCCACCCCCCCGGUACUGACGGGAGACUUUGUUCCGAGCUCUCUCCAAUCACUGUGGAUGACGUGAAGGUGUGGGGGGGGGGGGGGCAAGACUUUAAAGAUAGACAGUAGCCUUACAAGUCAAAAUCUGAAACCGUGAAUGUCGCAGAUACUGAGGUGGGAGUCGGAGGGACGGAGGGAGGUGAUGCUGAAGAAACAAAAUCCACCAGCUGCCAGAAGAAAAGUGCAAACGUGGAUGAGUAGAGGACGAUUAGGAAAAUCAACUCCCAGAGAGGUGAAGGGAACCAGAGGCUCUGAGCGGGCGGCUGGGCUGAAGGGUGCAGACAGAAGAUCCAAGAAAAAAAGAGGGAAGCAGAGCCACACUUUGAUGUGACUGAUGUGAUGGUAACUUCUUCCCACAACCUGACUGAUGGAGGUGGGGGAGGUGGAGGCUUGCUGCUGCUGCUGCUGCGACUGUCCUCUUUGAAUCCCUGCACCGCUGCCGGUGAUGUCUCUUCAUGGUCUGACAUGAACGCAGCUGAGCGGUGAAUCACAGAAAACAGGAAGUUUGGACUGAGGCCCGUGUGAAGUGAGUACAACCAGGAUUAUUAAAUACUUCCCUUUUCCUCGUCUCUGUGUCACUCACACACAAGCUGCUAUCCACAGAACCAGGUAUUCAGAUGCCUUUUUAUGUAAAAACUCCACUAAAUGCAUUUUUA
Molecule: long non-coding RNA, 829 nt
Organism: Limanda limanda (common dab)
Lineage: Eukaryota; Metazoa; Chordata; Actinopteri; Pleuronectiformes; Pleuronectidae
Exons: 3
Source: RefSeq, a predicted model, not a curated record